CCUACGGGGUGCACCAGUGGGGAAUAUUGCACAAUGGGCGCAAGCCUGAUGCAGCCAUGCCGCGUGUAUGAAGAAGGCCUUAGGGUUGUAAAGUACUUUCAGUCGGGAGGAAGGCGUUGAUGCUAAUAUCAUCAACGAUUGACGUUACCGACAGAAGAAGCACCGGCUAACUCCGUGCCAGCAGCCGCGGUAAUACGGAGGGUGCAAGCGUUAAUCGGAAUUACUGGGCGUAAAGCGCACGCAGGCGGUCUGUCAAGUCGGAUGUGAAAUCCCCGGGCUCAACCUGGGAACUGCAUUCGAAACUGGCAGGCUAGAGUCUUGUAGAGGGGGGUAGAAUUUCAGGUGUAGCGGCGAAAUGCGUAGAGAUCUGAAGGAAUACCAGUGGCGGAGGCGGCCCCCUGGACAAAGACUGACGCUCAGAUGCGAAAGCGUGGGGAGCAAACAGGAUUAGAUACCCGGGUAGUC
This 465-nucleotide ribosomal RNA is filed under the name uncultured bacterium. Its description in RNAcentral is "bacterial SSU rRNA". It matches the Rfam family "Bacterial small subunit ribosomal RNA", at positions 338 to 795 of the family's 1533-position model. The record is from RNAcentral.